RNAcentral lists this ribosomal RNA (456 nucleotides) under Triticum aestivum (bread wheat). RNAcentral describes it as "partial small subunit ribosomal RNA". The record is from RNAcentral. Lineage: Eukaryota; Viridiplantae; Streptophyta; Magnoliopsida; Poales; Poaceae.
AUGGCAACCAUCAGCGCCACGGCCGUCUUCGUCGCCGCCGGACCGCCGUGGUCUCCAGGGCUGCCUCGGCUGAGAGUGGCCAAGACCGCGAGCAGGCUGAGGUGCAGCUGCUCCAAGGACCUCAAGAAUAAGGCUUCUUCGGCUCUGGCUAUGGCCGUGGUCAAGGGCGCGCCGCUGCUCGCUGAGGCGAAAGCCAUGGCGGUGGCGGCGGCCCCGGUGCUGGCCCUGGCGCUGGUUCUGGCGCUGGUGGACGAGCGGAUGUCGACCGACGGCACCGGGCUGAGCCACGACCUGCUGGGGUGGAUCCUGAUGGUUGCCUUCGGCCUCGCCUUGUCCUACACCUACUACUCCUCCAUCCUCAAAGACGACAACGACGACGACCACUCAGCGCCGGCGGCAUCACGAUCUGAACACCGCACCGCCAUCUUCUUCUUCCGCCUGCAUGGUUACCAGUGA